CAAUAGCGUAUAUUAAAGCUGUUGCGGUUAAAAAGCUCGUAGUUGGAUUUCUGUCAAGGACAACUGGUCCGCCCUCCGGGUGAGCACAUAGUUUGGUCUUGACAUCUUGCUGGAAACUGUUGCUGCACUUGGCUGUGUGGCGCAGCGUCCAGCACUUUCACUUUGAGGAAAUUGGAGUGUUUCAAGCAGGCACAUGCCUUUGGACACAGUAGCAUGGAAUAAUUAGAUUGGGCUUUUGCUCCAAUUUGUCGGUUUCUGGAGCUGAGGUGAGAAUUAAUGGGGAUUGUUGGGGGCAUCCGAAUUUAGCCGUCAGAGGUGAAAUUCUUGGAUCUGCUAAAGACGGACAACUGCGAAAGCGUUUGCCCAGGAUGUUUUCAUUGA
This 381-nucleotide ribosomal RNA is filed under the name uncultured eukaryote. RNAcentral's name for it is "partial 18S ribosomal RNA". It matches the Rfam family "Eukaryotic small subunit ribosomal RNA", at positions 592 to 976 of the family's 1831-position model. The record is from RNAcentral.